RNAcentral lists this long non-coding RNA (1447 nucleotides) under Numida meleagris (helmeted guineafowl). RNAcentral describes it as "lncRNA (ENSNMEG00000000103.1)". The record is from RNAcentral. Lineage: Eukaryota; Metazoa; Chordata; Aves; Galliformes; Numididae.
CUAAGAAAUGUCAUUAGCUGAUGCAGAGGAAGCACCUCAGUAAAUACAUUGGGAUCCUUACCUGAUGCUCCUUACCACUGCUGACACAUACUGGCUACUUCAAGUUCAGUGCACAUACAUUAAUGAAUUCACAGUUGUUCGAGAUUGUUUGCCCAUUAGCUUCACUACCCCUCACUGCAGCAUUGAUGGUCUAUCCCGCCAAAACACAACACACAAUGUGUCAGCGAUCCUCCCUCCAGCCAAGGAUGGCUAGACACAGCUUGCCGUGGAGCCUGUCAACUCUGUGUAUCAGCCCCAGGGAAUCAAAUGAGAGCAGUGAAACGUGUUCUCUACCUCCAGUGUCUGUAGCCUCUGGCACCUACUGGAUGCUGUACCAGCCUGGCACAGGGCUCUCUGAGGUGGCUAACACUGGAUGUUACACUGCCUGGCUGCAUCCUCAAAACAGUGGAAAGAAAAUACUGAGAAAUAAAAGGGCUAAGCCAGCUACCUGAAUGGUGCUCCUAAUGUCAUCUCAGUUGCUUUAGGCUCUUGGCUGGUAGUGCUCCUUUAUGCAAUGUGUGAAGUGGUGCGACCAGCAGAAGUGUUUUCAAACAUUCAGUCAACAAAAAUUCCUUCUUGCUGUGACUGAAACUUGCUUAUUCUUGUCCAAUUGGAGUAGGUGGUGCUUACCUUCUUAAAAGAGUAUUUUUUUCUCUUGUAUCUCCAAAAUCUCAAGAUUAUUUUUAAAUUCUCAUCCUCUCCUUCAGUGCACUAGCAGUCAGUCCUCAAAUGGUACUGUCUGCAAAUUUAUUGUUUCUUCAUCUGAGAUGAUAAUGAAAUCAAUGUACAGUUCCAGACCCAGAGAGGCCUCCAUCCAACCCUACUGCAUACCUCUGUACAGGCUCUUGGUGAUCCACCAAUAACCGCUUUUCAGACAUGGUUAUACAGCACACUUGACUAAUGAUGCCACAUAUCACACUCAGGUCCCUAGUAACUUCACUAGUGUCCAGAGGACGUGACCCAAGAAACCAUAAAGACCCAUUUCCGACCUUCAGGGUCAUUCACCCUUCCUCCCAAACUCCUCGCACUUUUGCUGUUUACCACACUUCCUCCCAUUCCACACGAAUUCGGAAUGAGGAGGAAAUAAUUCUGAAAUUUUUGUUUGUCCACAAAGUGUACUAAAAAGCCACGGAAGCACAACAGAAGGAAGGCCUCUAAAGGCAACACUAUACAUCUCUACUCUUUGUUUGACCCAUGGCUAGAGUUUAAGCAGCCCAGGGCUGGAAGUAUACAAUGUGCUUGUCUGAGUUUGAAGUAAUCAUAAUGGCACAUUUGCCAUUUUUCCUAUGGCUGACCAAAAAGAUCCAACUGAAACUGUCCAUUUCUUUUAAAAUUUGCUUAAAAUUCUUUAUCUGGUAAAAGCCAAGCUUUUACUCAUCAUCCCUCUGCUCAAAAAGGGAAGCAACAG